UGGGGAAUAUUGCACAAUGGGCGAAAGCCUGAUGCAGCAACGCCGCGUGAGUGAUGAAGGCCUUCGGGUUGUAAAGCUCUGUCUUUUGGGACGAUAAUGACGGUACCAAAGGAGGAAGCCACGGCUAACUACGUGCCAGCAGCCGCGGUAAUACGUAGGUGGCAAGCGUUGUCCGGAUUUACUGGGCGUAAAGGAUGCGUAGGCGGAUUUUUAAGUGAGAUGUGAAAACCCUAAGCUUAACUUGGGGACUGCAUUUCAUACUGGAAAUCUAGAGUGCGGGAGAGGAGAAUGGAAUUCCUAGUGUAGCGGUGAAAUGCGUAGAGAUUAGGAAGAACACCAGUGGCGAAGGCGAUUCUCUGGACCGUAACUGACGCUGAGGCAUGAAAGCGUGGGUAGCAAACAGGAUUAGAUACCCUGGUAGUCCACGCCGUAAACCGAUGAGUACUAGGUGUAGGAGGUAUCGACCCCUUCUGUGCCGGAGUUAACGCAAUUAAGUACCCCGCCUGGGGGUAGUACGGUCGCAAGACUGAAACUUAA
RNAcentral lists this ribosomal RNA (537 nucleotides) under uncultured bacterium. RNAcentral's name for it is "partial 16S ribosomal RNA". It matches the Rfam family "Bacterial small subunit ribosomal RNA", at positions 355 to 904 of the family's 1533-position model. The record is from RNAcentral.